GUACACGCUGUGACUAGCAUAUCAAUAAGCGGAGGAAAAGAAACUAACAAGGAUUCCCCUAGUAACGGCGAGUGAAGCGGGAAGAGCUCAAAUUUGAAAUCUUAAAGGGUUUCCCUUUACGAAUUGUAGUUUAAAGAAGUGUUUUCUGUUGAGGUUUUGGUAAAAGUUCUUUGGAAUAGGACAUCAUAGAGGGUGAGAAUCCCGUAUUUGACCUUUACUUUCAACUUUGUGAUACACUUUCAAAGAGUCGGAUUGUUUGGGAAUGCAGUCCAAAAUGGGUGGUAAAUUUCAUCUAAAGCUAAAUAUUGGCGAGAGACCGAUAGCGAACAAGUACCGUGAGGGAAAGAUGAAAAGAACUUUGAAAAGAGAGUUAAACAGUACGUGAAAUUGUCAAAAGGGAAGCGCUUGACACCAGUGUUGUUUUUCUGAAAAUCAAUUAAAGGACUGUUUAUGCUAAGCUGUUUAGACUUUAUCAGCUAUCUGUUUAGUUUUGAGCUUUUCUUUAAUGCACUUUUCAGUUAACAAGUCAACAUCAAUUUCUUUUGCUGUAAAAAAGCUUGAGGAAGGUGGCUUGAGAUUCGUCUUAAGUGUUUAUAGCCUCUUGCCUAUGCAGUCGGAGAGAUUGAGGUCUGCAGCGUAGAUCCUUCGGGGCUAAAUGCAUUUGUGCUAAGUUAUAGCAUUUUAUAGACAACUUGUUGACUAUGAUUUGUCUUGUAGCUUACUCGCUUAUGUUAUUUUACCUACGCUUAGGAUGUUGAAGAUGUAGCACAUCAU
RNAcentral lists this ribosomal RNA (774 nucleotides) under uncultured Neocallimastigales. Its description in RNAcentral is "partial large subunit ribosomal RNA". It matches the Rfam family "Eukaryotic large subunit ribosomal RNA", at positions 22 to 635 of the family's 3401-position model. The record is from RNAcentral. Lineage: Eukaryota; Fungi; Neocallimastigomycota; Neocallimastigomycetes; Neocallimastigales.